RNAcentral lists this long non-coding RNA (304 nucleotides) under Ananas comosus (pineapple). RNAcentral describes it as "long non-coding RNA (ACOM_LNC009302)". The record is from RNAcentral. Lineage: Eukaryota; Viridiplantae; Streptophyta; Magnoliopsida; Poales; Bromeliaceae.
AAUAUAGUGCAAAUAUUAGAACAUAUUUUUUUUAAUCAUUUUUUACCUUCUUUCUGUUUUUACUUAGGCUUCGUUUGGAAUUGCGGAGAGAUUGCAUUACGUGCGGUGAGAAACGACGAUGAAAAAAUACCCUGUUUGUUUCCGUACACAAUAUUGCGUUCCACAUAUCGCAGUUAGUCGGUUACAAUAUAUUUUUCUCAACUUCAUUCUAACUAAUAGCGUUAGAUCCACCUCAAUACCAAACUAAGCCUUAUUCUUCUUCAGCAUCAUCUUCUUCUUUGCCUUUGGUCUUCUUCUACCCCUU